RNAcentral lists this long non-coding RNA (461 nucleotides) under Zostera marina. RNAcentral describes it as "long non-coding RNA (ZMAR_LNC004454)". The record is from RNAcentral. Lineage: Eukaryota; Viridiplantae; Streptophyta; Magnoliopsida; Alismatales; Zosteraceae.
UCCUGCUCAAUUUCGCAAGUUGUUUCCACCUACGAAAUGGUCUGCCGAGUUCAAUGCAGCUUUAACUGUACCAUUCUUCCAAUGGCUUGUUGGUCCUUCUGAGGUAUAACUCGCAAAAAUCUCUUUUCCUGAUGAUAUGCUAAUCUCUGAAACAGAGAAUUCGCACAGGGUUAAUUAAAAACAAAACAAAAACACCUAGCCAGUAGCAACUAGUGUAACAGUAAAAUCUAGAUGGAUAUGAAUAUAUGAUAAUACCAUUCUACAGUUAAAUAUUGAUGUGCUAAUACCAUGCUAAAAAUAUGACAAUCAUCAAUACCUGGGUAACUCUAAAAAUAUUUAUGUGCUGGAAUCCUCUAAAAUCUCUAAUGGAUGAAUGAUGAUCAUUCUUGCACAAUACUCAGGUUGUGGAGGUGGAAAUAGAAGGAAUCAAGCAAAGAAGUGGAGUGCACAUAAAGAAAUGU